This 73-nucleotide transfer RNA is filed under the name Anguilla anguilla (European eel). Its description in RNAcentral is "tRNA-OTHER". The record is from RNAcentral. Lineage: Eukaryota; Metazoa; Chordata; Actinopteri; Anguilliformes; Anguillidae.
GACCUGGGCAGGUAAGGGGUAAGGAGUUGGUCUUGCAACCUAAAGGUCGCAGGUUCGAUUCCCUGCUGGGACA